Molecule: long non-coding RNA, 221 nt
Filed under: Lathyrus oleraceus (garden pea)
Lineage: Eukaryota; Viridiplantae; Streptophyta; Magnoliopsida; Fabales; Fabaceae
Description: Pisum sativum (pea) long non-coding RNA (PSAT_LNC032365)
Source: RNAcentral
UAAAAUAUGCAACACAAUGAGAAAAUCAAAAGAAAAAAAAAUCAAAAAAAUGAAAAAUCAAUUAACCAAGUAAUAAAAAUAUUUGAAAAGUGAAAUAAAAUCAAGAGUUUAAAAGAAAUAAAAUGUAAAAUGAUUUGGAAAAGAAAUUAAAGCAAAAAACUGAAAGAAAGUAAGUAAAAUAUAGAAAAAACAAGACAGAGGGGGUGUAUGGACAAGUUUUU